CUACAGUGUUGAUGGCAAUAACAAAACCGGAAAAUCAGUGCAGGAACAGAUUGAUGAAUUCAGUAUCAUCCAAAGUGGCACUGCUUACUCGCCAUCUUCCAUGCUAUACCACAUGGAAAACUUCAUCAAAACAGAGGAAACCAAAGUGAAGGCAUUGCUCAAAAGAGAAGUUGUUGCGAGAAAGAAGGAAAUCUACUCGUCAAUCCAAAAAACAAUUCAGAAUCGAAUGACUGCUGGCUAUGAGCAAGCUGCAAAGUUGAAAGGAGUAAAAGCAAUGGAGAAGAGGGAGGAUAAAAUAACGGAAACAAUUGAAUUGUUAAAAGCCAGCAUGUUCAAAGAUGCAAAAAUGGAAGUUCUGAAUCAGUUCAAGGAUUUAAAGGAUCAUAUAUGCAAGACCCUUGAAUCUGAGCUAAAGGGAUCAGUGGAACGCUCACUUUCACAAACCAGCAGAACCACUCUGAUGGGUAAGAGAGAAUAAAAUAACUAAAUAUUAAGACCUACUUUAAAAUCAGGCUGAACACCCAGUAAUAUUUCUUUUCUAGAUGUCACCGGAAAGAUUGAAAGGUUGGAGCUUCUGUCAAGGUCUGUCAUCUGACUCGUCAUUUAAAAGCAGCA
Molecule: long non-coding RNA, 615 nt
Filed under: Sinocyclocheilus grahami
Lineage: Eukaryota; Metazoa; Chordata; Actinopteri; Cypriniformes; Cyprinidae
Description: lncRNA (ENSSGRG00000019635.1)
Source: RNAcentral